CCUACGGUGUGCUGCAGUGAGGAAUAUUGGUCAAUGGGCGCGAGCCUGAACCAGCCAAGUCGCGUGAGGGAGGACGGCCCUACGGGUUGUAAACCUCUUUUGCCGGGGAGCAACGGGCGCCACGUGUGGCGUCACUGAGAGUACCCGGAGAAAAAGCAUCGGCUAACUCCGGGCCAGCAGCCGCGGUAAUACGGAGGAUGCGAGCGUUAUACGGAUUUAUUGGUGUUAAAGGGUGCGUAGGCGGAUCGUUAAUUCAGUGGUCAAAUUGAGGGGCUCAACCCCUUCCCGCCAUUGAAACUGGCGUUCUUGAGUGGAAGAGAAGUAUGCGGAAUGCGUGGUGUAGCGGUGAAAUGCAUAGAUAUCACGCAGAACCCCGAUUGCGAAGGCAGCAUGCCGGCUUCCGACUGACGCUGAAGCACGAAAGCGUGGGGAUCGAACAGGAUUAGAUACCCGAGUAGUC
Molecule: ribosomal RNA, 460 nt
Filed under: uncultured bacterium
Lineage: Bacteria
Description: partial 16S ribosomal RNA
Rfam family: Bacterial small subunit ribosomal RNA
Source: RNAcentral